CCUCGAACGUCACACGCUACGUAAUUUCGCCUACGUGAAGCCUGCUCGAUAGGGAGCUUCGCUGGGGGGAGGAGCCGAGGUACUCGACACACGCCCCGAUGCCUCGACGCAAACCAUAACAUCACUACAUAUAGGAAGUUUCACCGACGACUGCUUCCUCAACUUGGUCCAAUACAAAGCUGGACUUGCGGAACGUCUGGAAAUGGAGUCCGGAUUAGUACCAACACUCCUCGGCUCAGCGACAAAUCUCGGACAAGCCAGCCCAUCAAUUGGUAACUUUCAGGUGUUUCUCUCAAGGGAUGUUGCCUGCCAUACAGACCACCUGGAAACACAUACUGUAGCCACACGGCUAUCCUUAAAGACUUUCCGGCCCCACUUCACAAGUAAAGGAAAAGCAUCAUGACCAGCGCCCUGCAAAGAGACAAACUUGGGAGUUGUAUUUCAAAGAGGGAAUCAGUCAAGAGCCCAGAAGGGUUUCAAGACUGAUAUCACAUGAGCUGUUAAUCAUUCUCAAUGAAUUAUCAAUCAUCAAUGAAUUCAAAAUGUAUAAAUGUUAGCUGAUCAGCUUACAGGGAAGGACACGUUGUCGCUUGUUAUUGUCAAAAUAGAGUAAUUGCGCUUGUCUCGCAUGUCAUGUUGUGCUCAGAUCAUUUUGCGCUGGUGUUCGUUCAGUGUCCUCCACCUGGCCCCCACUUGAGCUUUGAGUCUAGGGGGGAGGUUGCUGGAGGAGACAUCCCUCUCCAAAACUCUGAAUCUUUGUCUGCAGUACACAUUUUAAACCCUCUCUCAAUGUUACAUAAACAUACAUUUAAAUAGUUUAAAAUGUACAAAUACACAGUUCCUCCUUUUAUGCAAACAGUGUACCGAAAC
Gadus macrocephalus (Pacific cod) is the source of this 870-nucleotide long non-coding RNA. RefSeq lists it as uncharacterized. The record is from RefSeq and is a predicted model, not a curated record. Lineage: Eukaryota; Metazoa; Chordata; Actinopteri; Gadiformes; Gadidae. The transcript has 3 exons.